AUGACGAAGCGUAAAAGAACAAGCAUGAAGAAUGAUAAAGCACAAAAGAACGAGGAACUAAUAAGAAAAAUGAUGAAUGACCCAAAACGACGCCGCAUCAUUGCAGAGCUUCACCACCUCAAAUCAAACCCUAACCAUGGCGAACUCGCAAGAGCAAGAUCGUCCAUGGUUCCUCUACGCAAUGCCAUUGCUAGUCUUUACUCUGAUCGCAUUUCAUCUCCUCGCUUUGGUGUAUUGGAUUUACAGAUUGUCGACUGA
Vicia faba (fava bean) is the source of this 258-nucleotide non-coding RNA. NCBI's taxonomy places the organism in Eukaryota, Viridiplantae, Streptophyta, Magnoliopsida, Fabales, Fabaceae. The record is from the annotation of a GenBank genome assembly.